CCCCUUAAUUGUGGGUAAUUGGCCAUUAUUGUUUUCCCCUAGAGAAUCCUGGGUAACGAUUGCAGAGGACUCUGGGAAAUUGACUUAUGUUCUCACCGCCCAUUCUCCUCCCCACCCCUUGCCCACUCCUAACUCUGGGAAACUAGCAUCUUAGAUCCCUGUGCCUAACUUCAGCCCCUGCAUUUCCUGCUCCCUUCACCUGAUGGUUCAGAGCUGAACCAGGCCAGGAUAUCCACCGGUGCUGUUCUGCUGAAGGUUGGGUCAGGAGUCUAAAGGGAUCGUGGCAAGGGAGGCUGUGUCACAGGUGUGAUCAGCUGCCAUCGCCAUCAUGAACUUUGAGGGUCUGGAUCCUGGACUGGCAGAGUACAGCCCGGCCAUGCAUUCUGCUCUGGACACUGUCCUGGACGCCCAUCUGAAUCCAAGCCUGCUACAGAAUGUGGAGCUGGACCCCGAGGGAGUGACCUUGGAGGCUCUUCCCGUCCAGGAAUCAGUGCACAUAAUGGAAGGUGUUUACUCUGAAUUGCACAGCGUGGUGGCUGAAGUGGGCGUCCCAGUCUCCGUCUCCCACUUUGACUUGCACGAGGAGAUGCUGUGGGUGGGGAGCCACGGGGGCCAUGCCACCUCAUUUUUUGGUCCAGCCUUGGAGCGCUACUCAUCCUUCCAGGUCAAUGGCAGUGAUGACAUUCGGCAGAUUCAGAGUCUGGAGAAUGGCAUCCUUUUUCUCACCAAGAACAACCUCAAGUAUAUGGCCCGUGGAGGCCUGAUUAUAUUUGAUUACCUGCUGGAUGAGAGUGAGGAUAUGCACAGUCUUCUCCUGACUGAUAGCAGCACGCUACUCGUUGGCGGACUGCAGAGCCACAUAUUGGAGGUCGAUCUUAACACUGUCCAGGAGACUCAGAAGUAUGCAGUUGAGACACCUGGAGUCACCAUCAUGAGACAGACAAAUCGCUUCUUCUUCUGUGGCCACACAUCUGGCAAGGUUUCCCUGCGAGACCUCCGUACUUUUAAGGUGGAGCAUGAGUUUGACGCCUACUCAGGGAGUCUGUCAGAUUUCGACGUGCAUGGCAACCUGCUGGCCACCUGUGGCUUCUCUAGCCGCCUCACUGGCCUGGCCUGCGACCGUUUCCUCAAGGUGUAUGAUUUGCGCAUGAUGCGUGCUAUCACUCCGCUUCAAGUUCACGUGGAUCCUGCCUUCUUGCGCUUCAUUCCUACAUAUACUUCUCGUCUUGCCAUCAUCUCUCAGUCAGGGCAGUGCCAGUUCUGUGAGCCCACAGGCCUGGCCAACCCAGCAGAUAUCUUUCAUGUGAACCCUGUGGGGCCUCUGCUAAUGACAUUUGAUGUAUCAGCCAGCAAGCAGGCCCUGGCCUUUGGGGAUUCUGAGGGCUGCGUGCACCUCUGGACUGAUUCCCCUGAGCCUUCCUUCAACCCCUAUUCCCGUGAGACUGAGUUUGCUUUGCCUUGUCUUGUGGACUCACUGCCUCCUCUGGACUGGAGCCAGGACCUGCUGCCUCUGUCCCUCAUCCCUGUCCCGCUCACCACUGACACGCUCCUCUCUGAUUGGCCUGCUGCCAACUCCGCUCCAGCUCCCAGGCGAGCACCCCCUGUGGAUGCAGAGAUUCUGCGCACUAUGAAGAAGGUGGGCUUCAUUGGCUACGCACCCAACCCCCGCACCAGGCUGCGCAAUCAGAUUCCUUACCGACUCAAGGAGUCAGACAGUGAAUUUGACAGCUUCAGCCAGGUCACUGAGUCACCGGUAGGGCGGGAAGAGGAGCCACAUCUCCACAUGGUUUCUAAGAAAUACCGCAAGGUGACCAUCAAAUAUUCCAAACUAGGGCUAGAGGACUUUGACUUCAAACAUUACAAUAAGACCCUGUUUGCCGGAUUAGAGCCCCACAUCCCCAAUGCCUACUGUAACUGCAUGAUCCAGGUGCUCUAUUUCCUGGAGCCUGUUCGGUGUUUAAUCCAGAACCACCUUUGCCAGAAGGAAUUCUGCCUGGCAUGUGAGCUGGGCUUCCUCUUCCACAUGUUGGACCUCUCUCGUGGUGACCCUUGCCAGGGCAAUAAUUUUCUUCGGGCAUUCCGUACCAUCCCCGAGGCCUCAGCUCUUGGUCUGAUCCUGGCUGACUCAGAUGAGGCUUCAGGCAAGGGCAAUCUGGCCAGGCUCAUUCAGAGGUGGAAUCGCUUCAUUCUCACCCAGCUGCAUCAGGAUAUGCAGGAACUGGAAGUGCCACAGGCUUAUCGAGGUGCUGGAGGCAGCUUUUGUUCAUCAGGGGACUCUGUCAUCGGGCAGCUGUUCAGCUGUGAGAUGGAGAACUGCAGCCUAUGCCGCUGUGGCAGUGAGACUGUGCGUGCCUCAUCCACCCUGCUCUUCACGCUCUCCUACCCUGAUGAUAAAACUGGGAAGAACUAUGACUUUGCUCAGGUGCUGAAGCGAAGCAUCUGCCUGGAGCAGAAUACACAAGCCUGGUGUGACAACUGUGAAAAGUACCAGCCCACGAUUCAGACUCGCAACAUCCGCCAUCUGCCGGAUAUUCUUGUCAUCAAUUGUGAGGUGAAUAGCUCAAAAGAGGCUGAUUUCUGGAGGAUGCAAGCUGAGGUUGCCUUCAAGAUGACAGUAAAGAAGCAUGGUGGGGAAAUUGCCAAGAGCAAGGAAUUUGCUUUGGCUGAUUGGAAGGAGCUAGGGAGUCCAGAGGGUUUGCUGCUGUGUCCUUCCGUUGAGGAGUUGAAGAACGUCUGGCUUCCGUUUUCCAUUCGCAUGAAGAUGACCAAGAACAAAGGAUUGGAUGUUUGCAAUUGGACUGAUGGGGAUGAGUUGCAGUGGGGCCCAGCCAGGGCAGAGGAGGAGCAUGGUGUCUAUGUGUAUGACCUGAUGGCUACUGUGGUACACAUCCUGGACUCACGCACAGGGGGCAGCCUGGUGGCUCACAUCAAAGUUGGAGAGACCUACCACCAGCGCAAGGAGGGUGUUACUCACCAGCAGUGGUAUCUAUUUAACGACUUUCUUAUUGAACCUAUUGAUAAGCAUGAAGCGGUGCAGUUUGACAUGAAUUGGAAAGUACCUGCUAUCCUUUACUAUGUCAAAAGGAAUCUCAAUUCCAGAUACAACCUGAACAUCAAGAACCCUAUUGAGGCAAGUGUCCUGCUGGCUGAAGCGUCACUGGCACGGAAGCAGCGGAAAACACAUACUACCUUUAUUCCACUGAUGCUGAAUGAGAUGCCACAGGUUGGGGACCUAGUGGGUCUGGAUGCUGAGUUUGUCACCCUUAAUGAGGAAGAAGCAGAGUUACGCAGUGAUGGUACCAAGUCCACUAUUAAACCAAGCCAGAUGUCAGUAGCAAGGAUUACCUGUGUUAGGGGCCAGGGACCCAAUGAGGGUAUCCCCUUCAUUGAUGACUACAUCUCCACCCAAGAGCAGGUGGUGGAUUACUUGACUCAGUACUCUGGGAUAAAGCCUGGAGACCUGGAUGCCAAAAUUUCCUCUAAGCACCUCACAACUCUCAAGUCUACUUACUUAAAACUUCGUUUUCUCAUUGACAUUGGAGUCAAGUUUGUGGGUCAUGGCCUGCAGAAGGACUUCCGGGUCAUCAACCUCAUGGUUUGGACAGGGCUCAUUGAAGAGUUUUCUUUUGAGGGUGGGAUGCUCAGGGUAUACAUCGUGCUUUUGGAGAAUGAUAACUUAUAGAUCCUUUACCUUCAGUCUGCCACUCUUUUAUCCUUGCCAGGUGCCCAAGGACCAAGUCCUUGACACUGUCUACCUGUUCCACAUGCCCCGAAAACGAAUGAUUUCCCUGCGAUUCCUUGCUUGGUACUUCCUAGACCUGAAGAUUCAAGGGGAGACCCAUGACAGUAUUGAGGAUGCUCGCACAGCCCUUCAGCUCUACCGAAAGUAUCUGGAGCUAAGCAAGAAUGGCACUGAGCCUGAGUCUUUCCACAAGGUGCUCAAGGGUCUUUACGAGAAGGGCCGAAAGAUGGACUGGAAGGUGCCUGAGCCUGAGGGCCAGACAAGUCCCAAGAAUGCAGCUGUCUUCUCCUCAGUGCUGGCGCUCUGACCUCCCCUCUCCCAAAGAACCACCGCCCUCUCCCUUAGUGUUCUGUGGCCCCAGAACUGGGAGGUGGCGUCCCAAGUUAGCUAUUCCCUGUCCACUUCCAGAAUUGGACCUGCUCAGGGUCUACAGAUGGUGCUAUUUAUAACCGGAAUGCAACAGCAUUGUUACAAAGGUUCUAGAAGCCAGAUUCCUUCUUCAUCCUUUGCAAAAUAGUGAGUCACAAACAGAAUCUCAAAUUGACCCAGAUGGAAAGGAAUUGGUAUUCAUAAUAAAUAUCCUGGGUGAUUAAUAUCCAAGCAUAGAAGCUCCUGGAACCAAAACUCUUAGUUCCUAGCUGACUGGGGAUUGCAGUCCUGGUCAGUGACAGAGGAUACAAUGGUAGCUCAAGACUUAGCUCAAACUACCAACUGCUUGAGGGAUGCCUGGAGGGUCCAGUACUUAGGGUCGUGGUGGCCCACACAAACCAAUGUUGCCAAUCCCGUUGCCAAAAGGGCCUUUGGAUCCUGGACAAAGCUUAGCUGCUGGCUUCCUUUAUUCCUGCUGACAGCUGAGAAGCAUCUGUCUUCCAUCCACUCUCCUGUCCCAUGUUUUGUUUUUUAAAAUUUUGUUUUAAACCGCAUGUUUUAUAAAAUAAAA
This is an RNA transcript of Carlito syrichta (Philippine tarsier), 4682 nucleotides long. It is a transcript of the gene named PAN2 poly(A) specific ribonuclease subunit, with no coding region annotated. Lineage: Eukaryota; Metazoa; Chordata; Mammalia; Primates; Tarsiidae. The transcript has 25 exons. The record is from RefSeq and is a predicted model, not a curated record.